AGCAGCCGCGGUAAUUCCAGCUCCAAUAGCGUAUAUUAAAGUUGUUGCAGUUAAAAGGCUCGUAGUUGAAUUUCGGGGUCAGCAAGUUGGUCGUGCCACCGGUAUGCACUGGCUUUGCUGAUUCCUCCUUCUUGUAGAACCGUAAUGCCAUUAAGUUGGUGUUGCGGGAAAACAGGACUGUUACUUUGAAAAAAUUAGAGUGUUUAAAGCAGGCUAACGCUUGAAUACAUUAGCAUGGAAUAAUGAAAUAGGACGACGAUCCUAUUUUGUUGGUUUCUAGGAUUGACGUAAUGAUUAAUAGGGAUAGUUGGGGGCAUUAGUAUUCAAUUGUCAGAGGUGAAAUUCUUGGAUUUAUUGAAGACUGACUACUGCGAAAGCAUUUGCCAAGGAUGUUUUCAUUAAUCAAGAACGAAAGUUAGGGGAUCGAAGACGAUCAGAUACCGUCGUAGUCUUAACCAUAAACUAUGCCGACUAGGGAUCGGAUGAUGUUAAUUUUUUAAUGACUCA
RNAcentral lists this ribosomal RNA (507 nucleotides) under uncultured organism. RNAcentral's name for it is "SSU rRNA". It matches the Rfam family "Eukaryotic small subunit ribosomal RNA", at positions 569 to 1078 of the family's 1831-position model. The record is from RNAcentral.